Molecule: ribosomal RNA, 2022 nt
Rfam family: Eukaryotic small subunit ribosomal RNA
GCCAUGCAGGUCUCAGUACGGCCUCUAGCAAAAAGGCGAAACCGCGAAUGGCUCAUUAAAUCAGUUAUGGUUCCUUAGAGCUUACGUUGUCUUACUUGGAUAACCGUGGUAAUUCUAGAGCUAAUACAUGCACCGAAGCUCCGACCCUCUCACGGGAACGAGCGCUUUUAUUAGACCGCAAAGACCGUAUCCGGCAAACCGGUGUGCUGUCAAAGGCCAUCCGGGGAUCCGUGUUUGCGUGGUGACUCUGGAUAACCUAGCCGAUCGGCCGUCGAGGCCCGUGAAAAAAAUUGCGGGUUCCGAAACGGCCGACGCACCUUUCAAGUGUCUGCCUUAUCAACUGUCGACGGUAGGUUAAAUGCCUACCGUGGUAGUAACGGGUGACGGGGAAUCAGGGUUCGAUUCCGGAGAGGAAGCCUGAGAAACGGCUACCACAUCCAAGGAAGGCAGCAGGCUCGCAAAUUACCCACUCCCGGCACGGGGAGGUAGUGACGAAAAAUAACGAUGCGGGACUCGGUCGAGACCCCGCCAUCGGAAUGAGUACACUCUAAAUCCUUUAACGAGGAUCCACCGGAGGGCAAGUCUGGUGCCAGCAGCUGCGGUAAUUCCAGCUCCGGUAGCAUAUGCUAAAGUUGCUGCGGUUAAAAAGCUCGUAGUUGGAUUUCAGUCUCGGCCGCUCGGUCUCGCCCGUGUUGGCGGGUCUCGAUUGCGGCCGGUCAGAAUGUCGGCCGCCCGGGAUGAUCUUGACCGGUUGUCUCGGAACGGCCGGCGAGUUUACUUUGAAAAAAUCAGAGUGCUCAGAGCGGGCGUUAUCCGCCCGGACGCCCGUGCAUGGAAUAAUGGAAGAGGACCUCGGUUCUUGUGUCUGUUGGUCCGCGAACCCUGAGGUAAUGAUUAAGAGGAACGGCCGGGGGCGAUCGUACCGCGACGCUAGAGGUGAAAUUCUUGGACCGUCGCGUGACGCACCACAGCGAAAGCAUUCGUCAAGAACGCUUCCGUUAAUCAAGAACGAAAGUCAGAGGUUCGAAGGCGAUCAGAUACCGCCCUAGUUCUGACCAUAAACGAUGCCGACCAGCGAUCGGGCUGCGCUCGCCACGACGAGGCGCCCGGAAGCUUGCCCGGGAAACCAGAGUCUCUGGGUUCCGGGGGAAGUAUGGUUGCAAAGCUGAAACUUAAAGGAAUUGACGGAAGGGCACCACCAGGAAUGGAGCCUGCGGCUUAAUUUGACUCAACACGGGAAAACUCACCCGGCCCGGACACGGGAAGGAUUGACAGACUGAUUGCUCUUUCUUGAUUCUGUGGGUGGUGGUGCAUGGCCGUUUCUAGUUGGUGGAGCGAUUUGUCUGGUUGAUUCCGAUAACGAACGAGACUCUAGCCUGCUAAAUAGCUAGCUCUUUUUAUAGGCUUUUUGCUCGCCUUCCGCGGGUUAUUGCGGAUCCGUUCGGUCUCGUCGUCGCCGUGUUUCGGCGUGACUGUCUGCUUGCGUCGGCAGCUCGCUGCUGGCGUCUGGUGGGCUUGCGUCGUCCGCGGUUUUUCGGCGGGGCUGUCGGUUCGUGAGCUCCGGAAAGGGCGAGCGAAGCUAGGGCUACGGAAUCUCUUCUUAGAGGGACAAGCGACGCAUUAAAGUCGCGCGAGGAAGAGCGAAAACAGGUCUGUGAUGCCCUUAGAUGUCCGGGGCCGCACGCGCGCUACACUGACGCCCACAGCGUGCGCGCUCGCCCGGUCCGACAGGACCGGGGAACCCCGUCAACGGACGUCGUGAUGGGGACAGGGGAUUGGAAUUGUUCCCCUCGAACGAGGAAUUCCCAGUAAGCGCGAGUCACUAGCUCGCGUUGAUUACGUCCCUGCCCUUUGUACACACCGCCCGUCGCUACUACCGAUUGAACGGUUCGGUGAGGUCCUCGGACUGGCUUACGCUGGCGGGCCGCUUUUCGCAAUUUAUUGCGUUAAUGCCCGAUGCGGUAGUCGGAAAGUCGAUCGAACCGUAUCGUUAGAGGAAGUAAAAGUCGUAACAAGGUUUCC